AAAAACUACCCUCAGCCUGCGCGCCGCCACCGCCCUCAUGCUGGGCGCCGCUCUCCGCCGCUGCGCUGUGGCCGCCACCACCUGGGCCGGCCCUCGAGGCCUGCUGCACUCCGCCCGGACCCCCGGCCCCGCCGCGGCUAUCCAGUCAGUUCUCUGCUGUUCUCAUGGGUCACAUGAGACAGAUGAGGAGUUUGAUGCUCGCUGGGUAACAUACUUCAACAAGCCAGAUGUAGAUGCCUGGGAAUUGCGUAAAGGGAUAAACACACUUGUUACCUAUGAUCUGGUUCCAGAGCCCAAAAUCAUUGAUGCUGCUUUGCGGGCAUGCAGACGGUUAAAUGGUUUUGCUAGUACAGUUCGUAUCCUAGAGGCUGUUAAGGACAAAGCAGGACCUCAUAAGGAAAUCUACCCCUAUGUCAUCCAGGAACUUAGACCAACUUUAAAUGAACUGGGAAUCUCCACUCCGGAGGAACUGGGCCUUGACAAAGUGUAAACCCCAUGGAUGGGCUUCCCCAUGGAUUUAUUGACAUUGCGACUUGAGUGUGAAGUUUCCUGGAAAUACUGAUGAUAACAUAUUACCUUAUUUGAACAAGUUUUCCUUUAUUGAGUACCAAGCCAUGUAAUGGUAACUUGGACUUUAAUAAAAGGGAAAUGAGUUUGACCUGAAA
Molecule: RNA transcript, 665 nt
Organism: Piliocolobus tephrosceles (Ugandan red Colobus)
Lineage: Eukaryota; Metazoa; Chordata; Mammalia; Primates; Cercopithecidae
Gene name: cytochrome c oxidase subunit 5A, mitochondrial pseudogene
Exons: 1
Source: RefSeq, a predicted model, not a curated record